GAACGCUGGCGGCAGGCCUAACACAUGCAAGUCGAGCGGUAACAGAAAGAAAGCUUGCUUUCUUUGCUGACGAGCGGCGGACGGGUGAGUAAUGCCUGGGAAUAUGCCUUAGUGUGGGGGAUAACUAUUGGAAACGAUGGCUAAUACCGCAUAACGUCUUCGGACCAAAGAGGGGGACCUUCGGGCCUCUCGCGCUAAGAUUAGCCCAGGUGGGAUUAGCUAGUUGGUGAGGUAAAGGCUCACCAAGGCAACGAUCCCUAGCUGGUCUGAGAGGAUGAUCAGCCACACUGGAACUGAGACACGGUCCAGACUCCUACGGGAGGCAGCAGUGGGAAUAUUGCACAAUGGGGGAAACCCUGAUGCAGCCAUGCCGCGUGUAUGAAGAAGGCCUUCGGGUUGUAAAGUACUUUCAGUCGUGAGGAAGGCAUUGUAGUUAAUAGCUGCAGUGCUUGACGUUAGCGACAGAAGAAGCACCGGCUAACUCCGUG
Molecule: ribosomal RNA, 488 nt
Filed under: uncultured bacterium
Lineage: Bacteria
Description: bacterial SSU rRNA
Rfam family: Bacterial small subunit ribosomal RNA
Source: RNAcentral